UACGGAGGGUGCAAGCAUUAAUCGGAAUUACUGGGCGUAAAGGGCGCGUAGGCGGGCCUGCAAGUCAGAUGUGAAAUACCGAAGCUCAACUUCGGUGCUGCAUUUGAAACUAUGGGUCUGGAGGAUAGGCGGAGAAAAUGGAAUUCCACAUGUAGCGGUGAAAUGCGUAGAUAUGUGGAAGAAUACCGGUGGCGAAGGCGAUUUUCUAGCUUAUACCUGACGCUGAGGCGCGAAAGCAAGGGGAGCAAACAGG
RNAcentral lists this unclassified non-coding RNA (253 nucleotides) under uncultured Chlamydiales bacterium. RNAcentral describes it as "contains 16S-23S intergenic spacer region". It matches the Rfam family "Bacterial small subunit ribosomal RNA", at positions 524 to 776 of the family's 1533-position model. The record is from RNAcentral. Lineage: Bacteria; Pseudomonadati; Chlamydiota; Chlamydiia; Chlamydiales.